GCCUACACAUGCAAGCCGAGCGGUAGAGAUCUUUCGGGAUCUCGAGAGCGGCGUACGGGUGCGGAACACGUGUGCAACCUGCCUUUAUCAGGGGGAUAGCCUUUCGAAAGGAAGAUUAAUACCCCAUAAUAUAUUGAGUGGCAUCACUUAAUAUUGAAAACUCCGGUGGAUAGAGAUGGGCACGCGCAAGAUUAGAUAGUUGGUGAGGUAACGGCUCACCAAGUCUGCGAUCUUUAGGGGGCCUGAGAGGGUGAUCCCCCACACUGGUACUGAGACACGGACCAGACUCCUACGGGAGGCAGCAGUGAGGAAUAUUGGACAAUGGGAGCGAGCCUGAUCCAGCCAUCCCGCGUGAAGGACGACGGCCCUAUGGGUUGUAAACUUCUUUUGUAUAGGGAUAAACCUACUCUCGUGANAGUAGCUGAAGGUACUAUACGAAGUCCGUAGGCGGAUCUGUAAGUCAGUGGUGAAAUCUCACAGCUUAACUGUGAAACUGCCAUUGAUACUGCAGGUCUUGAGUGUUGUUGAAGUAGCUGGAAUAAGUAGUGUAGCGGUGAAAUGCAUAGAUAUUACUUAGAACACCAAUUGCGAAGGCAGGUUACUAAGCAACAACUGACGCUGAUGGACGAAAGCGUGGGGAGCGAACAGGAUUAGAUACCCUGGUAGUCCACGCCGUAAACGAUGCUAACUCGUUUUUGGGCUUUCGGGUUCAGAGACUAAGCGAAAGUGAUAAGUUAGCCACCUGGGGAGUACGAACGCAAGUUUGAAACUCAAAGGAAUUGACGGGGGCCCGCACAAGCGGUGGAUUAUGUGGUUUAAUUCGAUGAUACGCGAGGAACCUUACCAAGGCUUAAAUGGGAAAUGACAGGCUUAGAAAUUGUGGUUUAAUUCGAUGAUACGCGAGGAACCUUACCAAGGCUUAAAUGGGAAAUGACAGGCUUAGAAAUAGGCUUUUCUUCGGACAUUUUUCAAGGUGCUGCAUGGUUGUCGUCAGCUCGUGCCGUGAGGUGUUAGGUUAAGUCCUGCAACGAGCGCAACCCCUGUCACUAGUUGCCAUCAUUAAGUUGGGGACUCUAGUGAGACUGCCUACGCAAGUAGAGAGGAAGGUGGGGAUGACGUCAAAUCAUCACGGCCCUUACGCCUUGGGCCACACACGUAAUACAAUGGCCGGUACAGAGGGCAGCUACACUGCGAAGUGAUGCAAAUCUCGAAAGCCGGUCUCAGUUCGGAUUGGAGUCUGCAACUCGACUCUAUGAAGCUGGAAUCGCUAGUAAUCGCGCAUCAGCCAUGGCGCGGUGAAUACGUUCCCGGGCCUUGUACACACCGCCCGUCAAGCCAUGGAAGUCUGGGGUACCUGAAGUCGGUGACCGUAACAGGGGCUGCCUAGGGUAAAACAGGUAACUAGGGCUAAGUCGUAACAAGGUAGCC
RNAcentral lists this ribosomal RNA (1428 nucleotides) under uncultured bacterium. RNAcentral describes it as "bacterial SSU rRNA". It matches the Rfam family "Bacterial small subunit ribosomal RNA". The record is from RNAcentral.